UUUCUCCGCCAUGCAAAAGUAGUAUAUAUUAGACUCAUGCAUAUGUUGUAGGCUUAGAGGUCCAGUAGGCUUUAAGUUUUAUUUUUUAAUUUGAUUUAAGAUUAAUGUAGAGCUAUUCAGACGUGUUCAAGCUUUGAAUAUUGGUUAUACAAAAUAAAUAGCAGCACAGAGGUUCAGUGAAAAGCUGGGUUGUAAAUUCAGAGGAUAUGGAGCUCAAAUUGUCACGAGUAAUUAUGCACGGGUGAGUAAAGGGUAAAAGUGGAACAAAACGUGUACGGCAGAACUGAUGCAAAACUGAUAGAGUGCACUCCUUGUUAUAAAAGUUUAAUAAUAAUGUCUAUGGUGCUAUAAAAAAAAGUCAAUAAUUGACGGCUUACUGUACGUUUGUUUGGUGCUAGCCUACUACACUCGACGAGCUCAAAUUCUGUUUUCUCAAUCUUCACUGCAAUGGUAGGUCAACCCACGUCCGUCCGCCGCUUCCUCAUCAUAAAUUAACAAGAAUAAUAUACUCCACUCUCUCUCUCUCUCUUCAAAAUCCCCAAUUUUUGCAUUUAGGGUUUCACAAAUCGUCAUCUUUGUAAUCAGCGACCUACAUAAUCAAGCAUUGCGAAGAGCUUAAUUGCAGUUGUAAGGAGAAUUACGAAGCGGGAUUUGCGAUGCCGCGAAGAUGAGAGGAGGGGAGAUUGCAUUUCAUUGAUGAUUUGCCAGAGGAAGACCAUGAUGAUGAGGAUUACGGCGGUGGCAGUGGAAAGAGGAAUGCAAAGAAGAGGUCGGGGUCUCAUUUUUUUGAACUUGAAGCUGAAGUUGAUAGUGAGGAAGAAGAAGAUGGUGGUGUUCAUAAAAACGGCUGUAGGAAGCAUGACAGUUGAAGUGCCAGAGGACAAGCUAAGGAAGUAUAUGAGUUGAUUCGAGUACCAAGAUUGGUUAAAAAGAUGACAGUGGAAUUAUUGGUUUCAGUCAUCUGAUGUCAACUAUAUCUGAUGUGAAAAGCUUCACCAAUGAUAUGGUUUCGCUGACAUUAGUAGCAGUACAUGAUAUGGCAAUCGCAAGAGCUGGACUAUAAUGAACAUGUGAAUUAUAUGAUUUAGAGAGCAAGGAGGUGAUUUGAGCAGUCCGCAUUUUAAGCUUGCCUCUUGAUUUAGCAUCGGUUACAGCUACGGAUUGCUGCAGAAACGUUGCUGCAGAUUAGUUUCUUUGUCUCCACCCUGUUGUAGAAGCUGUUUAAUAGCAAUACUCUGUUGGUUAUUGUGCUCAUUAUUUUGCUGUAAGUUGCACCCAACUGGAAGUUCUUUUUCCUAGAAGUAUUUUUUUUUAAAUUUAGUAUUAAGGCAACAAAACAGAACACUCAAAAACUUCAGAAGUAACUUUUUCUUGAGUGAGUGAUUGUAGCUUGUUUUUCUGAUCGUUAGUUGUUUUCCUUUGCAUCCUUUAGAUCCUAUAGAUCCUUUAGCUUAUCAAUUGAUUUUUGUUUAGAUUCUUCAAACUUGUCCUUUUUUUCCAGUCUGCCAUAACUCAAAAAAAAUUGUUUUUGGGAAAUUCUUGAAUAGUGCAUGCAUGAGAAGUAGCUAAAAACUGAAUCAGUUACCAUUAGUAGCUUUCCUUGCUUUCCUCUUUUGAUAAGCUUCUCUCUGUUUAGCUUGACAAGCUUCUUUUUCUUCCACUGAUAAGGAAGCAUAUUUUUCUCUUGAUCUUCGGUUGCGAAUAAUGUUCUUAUUCGUUGAAUGUGCAAGUGGAUCGGUUGAAGCCAUGGUUUACAGUUUAUAGCAUGAAUAAAGGAAGCAAAAGCUAGCGGAUGAGUUGAAAAUACAUGCAGUUGUAGAUAUACAAGCAUCACCGAUAGAACAGGGAGAAGAGAUGGCUCAAUUUUCUAGUCUACAACAGCAAAAGUAAAAAGCUACUGUAAAAUGACUAUGUUAGACAUCAGCUGAAAAUAUAUAAUAGUCUAUUCAAUGACUAUUUUGAGGGAGGAAAAUGUAAUUAAACAAGACAAUGAGCUGGCUGAUAGAAAUAAACAUCAUAUCUCAUUAA
This is a long non-coding RNA of Coffea eugenioides, 2028 nucleotides long. RefSeq lists it as uncharacterized. The record is from RefSeq and is a predicted model, not a curated record. Lineage: Eukaryota; Viridiplantae; Streptophyta; Magnoliopsida; Gentianales; Rubiaceae. The transcript is spliced from 4 exons.